Molecule: non-coding RNA, 113 nt
Organism: Punica granatum (pomegranate)
Lineage: Eukaryota; Viridiplantae; Streptophyta; Magnoliopsida; Myrtales; Lythraceae
Source: Rfam
GAGAGCACAGUACGAUGAAAGUUGUCAGCUGUGUUCGGGGGGUAAUUAUUGUCUAUCGUUGGCCUUUAUGGUAGAAUCAGCCGGGGGGCUAGAGAGGCGGUGGUUUACCCUGU